This is a long non-coding RNA of Oreochromis aureus, 2336 nucleotides long. RefSeq lists it as uncharacterized. Lineage: Eukaryota; Metazoa; Chordata; Actinopteri; Cichliformes; Cichlidae. The record is from RefSeq and is a predicted model, not a curated record. The transcript has 3 exons.
UGAAUAUAUGAAUAAAAUAAAAAAAAUAUAACACUUUAUCUUUACUUGAAUCCAAGUGCAAUCACAUAUAAGUGGACAGGAAAUAGUUCAGUAGACCAAGUAUGAAGUUUAGGUGAAAUGAGAUGAAAACUGGGGGUUGCUGCUUUACAUUUGUAGAGUCUUGUAGCUGACAAAAGUAAGAGAAACGUGAGCCGGUGAGUUAUUCAGGGCGAUGUAAAAGUCUUAAGCCACUCCUCAUUUCUUCAUAUUUUGCUAGGAAGAUGACAAAUGGGUUCUUAAAACAUGUGCAAAUGUAUGUGGAUAUACAGUGUGUAAGAAACAAACAAACUUUACAGUCAAUAUUUGUUAUGAGCUCCUUCUUAAACACAGCCUGAAGUCUUUUGGGGAAGAGUUCCUUAUAAUUUCUUUGAGUAGUCUUCAGGAAUAGUUCUCCAGGUGUCUUGAAGGGCAUUUCAAAGCACUUCUUUGGAUGUUGACUGUCUCGUGUUCCCACACUGCUUCAUUAAUGAUGAAAUCCAGAUUCUGAGAAGGCCGAUUCAUGACUGAAUGCUUUUACUGCAUGUGUGUUUGGGAUUGCCGUCAUGCUGAAAAAUGAGGCUGUUGCCAGUCAGGCUCUUUUUGGAUGGUGGAUCAAAAUCUGACGGUACUUUUCUGCCUUCAAAGUUUCAUCAGUUUUGAUAAGAUCCGAAACACCACCGGCUGAAAUGCAGCCCUUUAGCUCGGAACAAUUUUUGUAAUGCUUGAAUGAUUCUGAAAAUGGUCAGGUACAAGGAUUGGACUGAAAUUAGAUGAAAACAAAAUCAGCCAGUGUUCAAAGACAAAAAAAAAAGAAAUGCCAUCAGAAAGCCUGAAGAACUACACUUCUAGCCAAUUAAAAAAAAAAAUACACAAAAAUCUGUCUCCUUGGAAGCAAAACCUUAGGAAACAAGGGGCGGCCAAAGACCAUACCAUAUAUAGGCCUUUUAUUUGAGGUUACAGUGUUUUCACAACAUCAGAAGCAUGUACAGAGUUCAUAAUUGGUUUCCCAGGUUUUACACACACACACACACACACACACACACACACACACACACACACACACACACACACACACACACACACACACACACACACACACACACACAAGUGUAAUACCUUACUAUUAUGAAGUCCACCUGCCAUGGUUUCACCUGUGUCAUACUGACUGGUGUCACACUUGUGCAUCCUCAAUCAUAGCUGCUCUGGCAAACAUCAUCUCUCCUCAUUUUUUCUACCUGAUGCAGUUUAAGAUUGAAGGCAUUCUCCAGGAUGGUGUGCUAAGACUGAUUUCUGAGCAGGAGGACACAGGAGGCAAGAAGGCACAAAACAAAACAAAAGCCAGGGAAGAAAAGCAGACACACUCACCACAGCGAGAGACAUGCAGAGGAGAGUAGCAUCAGGUCAGCCAGAAGAUGAUGUUGACGAGGAGCCAAUGGCCAGUGGAAGUUUUUCUCUGCAGCUAAGUGCAUAUGCCUUCAUGGAAACCACCACCUCUGCAUCUCCGCCUCUUCCUUUUUACUCAGGCUCCAUUUAAGCCUCCAUCUUCAUCUCCACCACCAGCGUCUAAACUCCAGGGGGCCGUGGCCUAAUCCCCAUCACCACUGAGAUUCAGUUCUGCUGUGAUGGGGCGUGGGAAUCUAAUUGCCAAAUACCUUAACUGAAUUCUGUAUAUCAAUAACUCAUAUUUAAUUCCUUCUGAGCUCUCCAUAUUGAAAUGAAGCUGGUCCUCCCUUUGCAGCUAUAAAAGCUUCUACUCUUCUGUAAGGAUUGCCAGUACACACCUACGCUGAGGUAGAAAACGUCCUUCAACAAGCUGUCCCACAAUGUUGGAAGCAUAGACUUGUACAAAAUGUAUUGGUAAGCUGAAACAUUAAGAUUUCCCUUCACUGGAACUAAGGGGCCUGGACCAAACUUGUAAAAGCAACCCCACAGCAUUAUCCCUUGUCCUCCAAACUUUACGGCUAGCGCAGUCCGGCAGGCAACGUUCUCCUGGCAUUUAUGAAUCCUACUCUCUCAUCUGACUGCCUGUUAGAGAAGCAUGAUCUGUCACACCUUUCCACUUCUCCAGAGUCCAGUGGAGGUUGGCCUUACACUAUUUUAUCUGACCUUUGGCAUUGUACUUGGUGAUGGAAAGCUUGCAUGCAGCUGUCUGGUUGUGGAAAUCCCAGUCUACAACUUUUGCUCUAAUAUUAAUGGCUACAGGAUGUUUGGAGCUCUGCAAUUCCUGAGUCAGCAGAGCAUUUCUGAAUUUUACACAUUACGUGCUUCAGCACACAGCGACCCAACUCUGUAAGUUUAUGUGGUUUGCUGUUUUAUAA